ACCGCUGAGGCGCUGACCAUCAGGAGCGCCGGAGAGGAGACAAAUAAGGAAUUCUAUUGUCUCCAUUUCUUGCAGUUCCACAACAGAGUUACUCUUUCCGGCUUUUGGUUGUGUUGUGUUUAUAAAUCAUCGACGUCGAACUUACAAGAGACCAUCUAAAGAAAUCACAUGUACGUGCGAAUUUGUCUUCACAAAGACCUUCGGAGUCAGAUUUAGGAUGUGCCUGCGAGGUGGAAUUCUACUCUGUUACAACGAAUAGCUGAAGUGAAAGAUGCAGUGAAGACUAGCACCAAGCACUGUGAAUUUCGAACAACUGACAGAGGAUGAGUGGAACAUCUGCUUGGAACGCUGUUGUGUUUUGAAACUAGUUGAGCAGGUUUCAACACAGCUUAGUGCAGAGUCCUAUCCUGCUGGCAGCCAAGUGUACAAUACUUGGCAAUGCUGUGUACUGGCGCCGAGGCAGAAGUUCUCAAGGUAUUUGCGUCACAUCCCCAGGUGGUUCCGAUAACUAGUCAUAUAUGCAGCAGUCUGUGAAGCAGUCUGACAGUGUGCAGAAGUUCUGUGAAUGAAAUGCUCAGUAGUAGUGAUCUGUUUGUAUGAAGUGAUAAAGAAAUAUGUUGCAGUGUAGUUGCAUAUGUAAUUGUGUGUAUAUUUCAUCAUUGUUUUUGCCAGUUGCAAGAUCUGUUUUUGUGGAAAUCAAAUAACAUUGUACAAUAGGGGCUAACUGAUUGAGGCGGUGCAGCUGCUAAUGGCACUGACCUCAUGUGCAGGAGGAUGGGCUUCACACUGUCCGGCCAUCCUGAUUUGGGCUUUCCGUGGUUUUCCUGGACACUAAGGCAAAUGGCUGGGAUGGUUCCUUCAGCAUUCUUAUAGAGAUCCUGUGUGUGUGUGUGUGUGUGUGUGUGUGUGUGUGUGUGUGUGUGUGUGUCAUGCUGAAUUACAGAGCAAAUACUUUGUUGGUCCCACUGAAUAGGCCAUGGCCAAGUACCUGCUCCAUCCUUGGCCAGAGUUUGUACUCAGCAUCUUAACUCUGUUUAUUCAUUCUCUUUGUAAUAGCAUAAUAUGUUUUAAACCCUCCAUAUCGUUGUGGAAAACAGUUGAAAUAAAAUUGUUAUCUCAUAAUGUA
This is a long non-coding RNA of Schistocerca americana (American grasshopper), 1126 nucleotides long. RefSeq lists it as uncharacterized. The transcript has 4 exons. NCBI's taxonomy places the organism in Eukaryota, Metazoa, Arthropoda, Insecta, Orthoptera, Acrididae. The record is from RefSeq and is a predicted model, not a curated record.